GCCAGGCGCGGUGGUGCGUGUCUAUAGUCCCAGCUAUUCGGGAGGCUGAGGCUGAAGGAUCUCUUGAGUCCAGGAGUUCUGGGCUGUAGUGCGCUAUGCCGAUCAGGUGUCUGCACUAAGUUCAGCAUCAAUAUGGUGACCUCCCAGGAGCGGGGGACCACCAGGUUGCCUAAGGAGGGGUGAACCGGCCGAGGUCGGAAAUGGAACAGGUCAAAACUCCUGUGCUGAUCAGUAGUGGGAUCGCGCCUGUGAAUAGCCACUACACUCCAGCCUGGGCAACAUAGUGAGACCCUGUCUCU
Molecule: signal recognition particle RNA, 299 nt
Filed under: Saimiri boliviensis boliviensis (Bolivian squirrel monkey)
Lineage: Eukaryota; Metazoa; Chordata; Mammalia; Primates; Cebidae
Description: Metazoan signal recognition particle RNA (ENSSBOG00000000626.1)
Rfam family: Metazoan signal recognition particle RNA
About the family: The signal recognition particle (SRP) is a universally conserved ribonucleoprotein. It is involved in the co-translational targeting of proteins to membranes.
Source: RNAcentral